CUUUGGCUGGCUUCACUGGCUGACGUUUCUGUGACUUGUGGAUGGUCUUCGGCAGGUCCCACAAAUCAUGAAUCCCCGUGGGACCAGACCCCAUGGUGCUGGAGUUGGGGUCUUAGGUCUGAGGGCUGUGGGGCUCUGGCCCUUUCCUGGCUCCCUUUCGCUUUCUGGCCUCAGGUGAUUGUUUUGCUCCCCCCUGUGCCGUGUCCCAGCCACCAUCUCAGCAGAGCACCGAAGCAAAGGGCUCUUCUGAUCCCGAGCUGGGGCCACUAAAACCUCGAGCCCAAUGCACCGUUUUCAGCCUUGAUAGGGUAUAAAAUGGACAGAAAGACGCUGUUAAGGUCGGCUGUUGAUUUGGCUGUCUUCUGCCCACCAUGGACUCUUCUGUGUGAUGCCCCUCUGCCAUGUUCCACCUUGCCCUGGAGCCAGCCACUUAUGGACUGAAACCUCUACAAAGUGUGAGUGAUUCCUUUGAGACGCAAAUUAAAAAAGAGACAACAGGAAAGGUGAUCCGCUCAGAGCUUUCACCUGGUGCCUGGGCUUCCUUUGGUGUUACAUGUAGUCACCGAGUUCGAGGAGUUGAAUGGAAAUUUGGAUCCAGAGGAGAAAAGGAUUCAGAAGGGAACUCACUAGGCGGGAGUCCCUGGGGGUGA
This 650-nucleotide long non-coding RNA is filed under the name Chinchilla lanigera (long-tailed chinchilla). RNAcentral describes it as "lncRNA (ENSCLAG00000023241.1)". The record is from RNAcentral. Lineage: Eukaryota; Metazoa; Chordata; Mammalia; Rodentia; Chinchillidae.